GGCUACCGUAGCUUCAGCUGGAUAGAGCGCCGUCGACACUGAGUUGGUGGAGGAAGCAGGUUCAAGUCCUGUCGGGAGCCU
This 81-nucleotide transfer RNA is filed under the name Ensifer sp. SSB1. RNAcentral describes it as "tRNA-Gln". Lineage: Bacteria; Pseudomonadati; Pseudomonadota; Alphaproteobacteria; Hyphomicrobiales; Rhizobiaceae. The record is from RNAcentral.